AAUGAACGCUGGCGGCAUGCCUAAUACAUGCAAGUCGAACGAACGGACGAGGACCUUUCGUCUCUGGUUUUGUCGGGGGAGGGAUGAGUCACACAUGUAUGGCCUACCUAUAAGACAGGGGUAACUUCGGGAAACCGGAUCUACUACCGAAUAAUAUUUUGCCCCUCAUGGGGCACAAGUGGAAUACGAUAUUUUUUUCGGUUAUAGAUGGAUCCGCGCUGGAUUAGCUAGUUGGUAGGGUAAAAGCUUACCAAGGCGACGAUUCAUAGCUGGCCUGAGAGGAUGAUCAGCCACACUGGGGCUGAGACACGGCCCAGACUCCUACGGGAGGCAGCAGUGGGGAAUAUUGGACAAUGGGCGAAAGCCUGAUCCAGCAAUGCCGCGUGAGUGAUGAAGGCCUUAGGGUUGUAAAGCUCUUUUACCCGGGAUGAUAAUGACAGUACCGGGAGAAUAAGCUCCGGCUAACUCCGUG
Molecule: ribosomal RNA, 472 nt
Filed under: uncultured bacterium
Lineage: Bacteria
Description: partial 16S ribosomal RNA
Rfam family: Bacterial small subunit ribosomal RNA
Source: RNAcentral